RNAcentral lists this ribosomal RNA (253 nucleotides) under uncultured bacterium. RNAcentral's name for it is "partial 16S ribosomal RNA". It matches the Rfam family "Bacterial small subunit ribosomal RNA", at positions 524 to 776 of the family's 1533-position model. The record is from RNAcentral.
UACGUAGGGUGCGAGCGUUGUCCGGAAUUAUUGGGCGUAAAGGGCUCGUAGGCGGUUUGUCGCGUCGGGAGUGAAAUCCACUGGCUUAACUGGUGGCUUGCUUUCGAUACGGGCAGACUGGAGGUAUGCAGGGGAGAACGGAAUUCCUGGUGUAGCGGUGAAAUGCGCAGAUAUCAGGAGGAACACCGAUGGCGAAGGCAGGUCUCUGGGCCGAAACUGACGCUGAGGAGCGAAAGCGUGGGGAGCGAACAGG